AACGAACGCUGGCGGCAUGCCUAACACAUGCAAGUCGAACGAGACCUUCGGGCCUAGUGGCGCACGGGUGCGUAACGCGUGGGAACCUGCCCUUAGGUUCGGAAUCACUCCCCGAAAGGGGUGCUAAUACCGGAUAAUGUCUUAGGACCAAAGAUUUAUCGCCUUUGGAUGGGCCCGCGUUGGAUUAGCGAGUUGGUAGGGUAAAAGCCUACCAAGGCGACGAUCCAUAGCUGGUCUGGGAGGAGGAUCAGCCACACUGGGACUGAGACACGGCCCAGAAUCCUACGGAAGAGAGCAGAAGGGAGUAUUGUACAAGGAGCGAUGGCGUGAUCCAGCAAUGCGGGGGGAGUGAUGAAGGCCGUAGGGAUGUAAAGCUCUUUUACCCGGGAUGAUAGUGACAGUAACGGGAGAAUAAGCACCGGCUAACUCCGUG
RNAcentral lists this ribosomal RNA (433 nucleotides) under uncultured bacterium. RNAcentral describes it as "partial 16S ribosomal RNA". It matches the Rfam family "Bacterial small subunit ribosomal RNA", at positions 29 to 507 of the family's 1533-position model. The record is from RNAcentral.